GCCCGCGUAGCUCAGUCGGAUAGAGCGUUUGUCUUCGAAACAAAAGGUCGGCGGUUCGAGACCGUCCGCGGGCG
Molecule: transfer RNA, 74 nt
Filed under: Chloroflexota bacterium
Lineage: Bacteria; Bacillati; Chloroflexota
Also listed under: 1 other name
Description: Chloroflexi bacterium tRNA-Arg
Rfam family: tRNA
About the family: Transfer RNA (tRNA) molecules are approximately 80 nucleotides in length. Their secondary structure includes four short double-helical elements and three loops (D, anti-codon, and T loops).
Source: RNAcentral